CGAACCGUCCAAACGUUAUUCGGAAUCACUGGGCUUACAGAGUUCGUAGGCGGUCUGGAAAGUUGGGUGUGAAAUCCCUCGGCCUAACCGAGGAACUGCGCUUGAAACUACCAGACUCGAGGGAGAUAGAGGAAAGCGGAACUGAUGGUGGAGCGGUGAAAUGCGUUGAUAUCAUCAGGAACACCGGUGGCGAAGGCGGCUUUCUGGGUCUUACCUGACGCUGAGGAACGAAAGCCAGGGGAGCGAACGGGAUUAGAUACCCCGGUAGUCCUGGCCGUAAACGAUGAGCACUAGGUCGUGGGCCUCCACAGGCCCUCGGCCGUAGCGAACGUGUUAAGUGCUCCGCCUGGGGAGUAUGGUCGCAAGGCUG
Molecule: ribosomal RNA, 370 nt
Filed under: uncultured organism
Description: bacterial SSU rRNA
Rfam family: Bacterial small subunit ribosomal RNA
Source: RNAcentral